RNAcentral lists this long non-coding RNA (788 nucleotides) under Selaginella moellendorffii. RNAcentral describes it as "long non-coding RNA (SMOE_LNC001525)". Lineage: Eukaryota; Viridiplantae; Streptophyta; Lycopodiopsida; Selaginellales; Selaginellaceae. The record is from RNAcentral.
UGAGAGUUUGUAACUUUGGACCAUCUGAAAUAAAAUGUUCUUUUUCGUUUCCUCCCUGGUCAACGAGUCAACGACCAUGCCGGGGCGCGGACCGAGGUCAACGGGUGACUCCUCGGACAGCCCUUGGGGCAACCUAAACUUUGAGCGGCAUCUCGAAUAUCCCAUGAUUAUAACUCUUUGACUUUAAAAGAAACGAACGAAACCUUGGUUGAUCUUUGUAAGAAACCAGAGUGAAAAAACAAAGUUAGAUUGGCGAGUCAGUAACUAACAAGAUCAUCAAUGAACAAACGCUAAUCUUGCGAGGUGCUCCACGCACGAGUAGUACUCGAGCUUCCUGAUCUUCGACGCCCAAAACGAUCCAGGCGUGGAAGAGAAAGGGCUGGAUCGUUUCUUCUUGUUGGCUCGUCUGCUGCUGGAUUCGUGCUGCUGCUGCUGCUGCCGCUGCUGGUCUCGAUUCUCCUCCUGCUCUUCGCUCUCGAUCCCUUCGGGGAUCGUUUGCAAGGUGGGAUUUAGCCUCUUCUGGCGGCGGCGGAGAUAGGCGCGCUGCAUUUGCUCCUCCUCGCUGAUGAGCAUCCCAUUCCGGACGAGAUCUCGCUGGAAGAGCCCGCCCCUUGGCCGGCACCAGCGACCCAUUGCCCUAAUUCGCCCAAAUUCCUAGAUUGCCCUCACCGAUCGAUCCCAAUCGGCCAAAUCGUUAGCUCCCAUCGUUUAGCUCCUAUCGCUGGCCGGCUUACCUCAUCUCCAUCCUGGAAGACGUGGAAUAAAUCACUGGGGGGCCACGUGUCGUG